This 394-nucleotide ribosomal RNA is filed under the name Vibrio ouci. Its description in RNAcentral is "Vibrio sp. BEI176 partial 23S ribosomal RNA". It matches the Rfam family "Bacterial large subunit ribosomal RNA", at positions 1402 to 1796 of the family's 2925-position model. Lineage: Bacteria; Pseudomonadati; Pseudomonadota; Gammaproteobacteria; Vibrionales; Vibrionaceae. The record is from RNAcentral.
CCGAAAGGCGUAGUCGAUGGGAAACGGGUUAAUAUUCCCGUACUUCUUACAAUUGCGAUGGGGGGACGGAGAAGGCUAGGUGGGCCUGGCGACGGUUGUCCAGGUUCAAGUGCGUAGGCUUAAGAGUUAGGUAAAUCCGGCUCUUUCUAAGGCUGAGACACGACGUCGAACUACUACGGUAGUGAAGUCAUUGAUGCCAUGCUUCCAGGAAAAGCCUCUAAGCUUCAGAUUGUAAGGAAUCGUACUCCAAACCGACACAGGUGGUCGGGUAGAGAAUACCAAGGCGCUUGAGAGAACUCGGGUGAAGGAACUAGGCAAAAUGGUACCGUAACUUCGGGAGAAGGUACGCUCUUGUCGGUGAAGUCCCUUGCGGAUGGAGCUAACGAGAGUCGCA